RNAcentral lists this unclassified non-coding RNA (400 nucleotides) under soil metagenome. RNAcentral describes it as "partial contains 5.8S ribosomal RNA, internal transcribed spacer 2, and large subunit ribosomal RNA". The stretch from base 1 to 122 matches the Rfam family "5.8S ribosomal RNA", at positions 35 to 154 of the family's 154-position model. The record is from RNAcentral.
GAUGAAGAACGUAGCGAAAUGCGAUACUUGGUGUGAAUUGCAGAAUCCCGUGAACCAUCGAGUCUUUGAACGCAAGUUGCGCCUCAAGCCAUUAGGUUGAGGGCACGUCUGCCUGGGCGUCACAUAUCGUUGCCUGAUGCCAGUUUCCUCGUGAUGGGUGACUGUGCAGGGCGAAUGAUGGCUUCCCGUGAGCAUUGUUGCCUCAUGGUUGGUUGAAAAUUGAGUCCUUGGUAGGGAGCGCCGUGAUAGAUGGUGGUUGAGUGACGAACGAGACCCAAUCAUGUGAGACCCCUACCGAAUUUGGCCUUCAUGACCCACAUGCGUCUUUGGAACGCUCAUGACGAGACCUCAGGUCAGGAGGGGCUACCCGCUGAGUUUAAGCAUAUCAAUAAGCGGAGGA